AACAAAAAGACGAUUUCAGAUUCUGUGGCUACAGAGAGAAUAAUGAAAUUCCUGAAGAUACUGAAAUUUACUAGGCUUCAGAAUACCCCAUUAUUGUUAGCAACUAUCAUUAGAAGAAGAGCCAUUAUUGGAGAGAAAGAAAUUCCACUGACCCCAAAGUAACGAAAUAAUCCUACUAUUGCAUAAAUCGCAAAACAGGAAAAAGCUCAAGCAUGUUGAUUCUGGUCAGAACAGAACAGUCACUUCAGAAACCUGGGCUGAGGACACCACAAGAGGAUUAUUGCUG
Long non-coding RNA from Erinaceus europaeus (western European hedgehog), 286 nucleotides. RefSeq lists it as uncharacterized. NCBI's taxonomy places the organism in Eukaryota, Metazoa, Chordata, Mammalia, Eulipotyphla, Erinaceidae. The record is from RefSeq and is a predicted model, not a curated record. The transcript is spliced from 3 exons.